GGCCUAAUGGAUAAGGCGUUGGUCUUCGGAACCAAAGAUUGUGGGUUCGAGUCCCACCG
RNAcentral lists this transfer RNA (59 nucleotides) under Perkinsus olseni. RNAcentral's name for it is "tRNA-Arg". It matches the Rfam family "tRNA", at positions 9 to 63 of the family's 71-position model. From Rfam's summary of the family: Transfer RNA (tRNA) molecules are approximately 80 nucleotides in length. The record is from RNAcentral. Lineage: Eukaryota; Perkinsozoa; Perkinsida; Perkinsidae.